GAUGAACGCUGGCGGCGUGCUUAACACAUGCAAGUCGAACGGUGAAGGCGGAGCUUGCUCUGCUGGAUCAGUGGCGAACGGGUGAGUAACACGUGAGCAAUCUGCCCCUGACUCUGGGAUAGGCGCUGGAAACGGCGUCUAAUACUGGAUACGAGCUGCGACGGCAUCUUCAGCAGCUGGAAAGAAUUUCGGUCAGGGAUGAGCUCGCGGCCUAUCAGCUUGUUGGUGAGGUAAUGGCUCACCAAGGCGUCGACGGGUAGCCGGCCUGAGAGGGUGACCGGCCAAAAUGGGACUGAGAAACGGCCCAGACUCCUACGGGAGGCAGCAGUGGGGAAUAGUGCACAAUGGGCGAAAGCCUGAUGCAGCAACGCCGCGUGAGGGACGACGGCCUUCGGGUUGUAAACCGAUUUUAGCAGGGAAGAAGCGAAAGUGACGGUACCGGCAGAAAAAGCGCCGGCUAACUACGUG
This 468-nucleotide ribosomal RNA is filed under the name uncultured bacterium. Its description in RNAcentral is "partial 16S ribosomal RNA". It matches the Rfam family "Bacterial small subunit ribosomal RNA", at positions 28 to 507 of the family's 1533-position model. The record is from RNAcentral.